Molecule: long non-coding RNA, 2806 nt
Filed under: Brassica napus (rape)
Lineage: Eukaryota; Viridiplantae; Streptophyta; Magnoliopsida; Brassicales; Brassicaceae
Description: long non-coding RNA (BNAP_LNC027221)
Source: RNAcentral
UUAAUAAUUUGGACACAAAAGGCCUUAGCAGCCGGUGAAAAUUAUCCGGUGAUCUAAACAAUGGCGACUCCUGCAUGGAGUCAUGCCAGGGGUCAAUGGGUAAUAGCCAUGUUGGCGUUACUCGUUGGCUCGGCAAUAGCUACCGAACCUUACUAUUAUAGCUCUCCUCCACCACCGUAUGAGUAUAAAUCUCCACCGCCUCCGGUUAAGUCUCCUCCACCUCCUUAUGAAUACAAAUCUCCUCCCCCUCCGGUUAAGUCUCCCCCACCACCUUAUUACUAUCAUUCACCGCCGCCGCCGGUGAAAUCCCCUCCCCCUCCUUAUGUAUACCAGUCUCCUCCUCCUCCGGUGAAGUCUCCACCACCACCUUAUUACUACCACUCUCCGCCACCACCUGUGAAGUCUCCUCCCCCUCCUUAUGUAUACAACUCUCCUCCUCCUCCGGUGAAGUCUCCUCCACCACCGUAUUAUUACCACUCUCCUCCACCACCAGUAAAAUCUCCUCCUCCUCCUUACUAUUAUCAUUCUCCACCACCUCCGGUGAAAUCUCCGCCACCACCAUAUUACUAUCACUCACCACCUCCUCCAGUGAAGUCUCCCCCACCACCAUAUUACUACCAUUCUCCACCACCACCGGUUAAAUCUCCACCACCACCUUACUACUAUCAUUCUCCACCUCCUCCAUUGAAGUCUCCUCCACCACCAUACUACUAUCACUCUCCUCCUCCUCCAUCCAAGUCUCCACCACCACCAUACUACUACUACUACUCUCCUCCUCCUCCAGUCAAGUCUCCUCCACCACCGUACUACUACCACUCUCCUCCUCCUCCGGUCAAGUCUCCUCCACCACCGUACUACUACCACUCUCCUCCUCCUCCGGUAAAGUCUCCACCACCACCGUACUACUACCACUCUCCUCCUCCUCCGGUUAAAUCUCCACCACCACCUUACUACUACCACUCUCCUCCUCCUCCGGUUAAAUCACCACCACCGCCAUACUAUUAUCACUCUCCACCUCCUCCAGUGAAAUCACCACCCCCACCUUAUUAUUACUCAUCCCCACCACCACCAAAGUCUUAUCCUCCACCAUACUACUACUCAUCUCCACCGCCACCACCAAAGUCGUACUCGCCACCGUACUACUACUCAUCGCCACCACCUCCGAUGUCAUACCCUCAACCUCACCCACAGCCACAUCCACUUGUCUUCAAAGUUGUUGGUAAAGUGUAUUGUUACAGAUGUUAUGACUGGACUUAUCCUAAAAAGUCCCACGAUAAGAAGCAUCUCAAAGGUAACUAUGUCUUCCACGUGUUCAAUAAUUAAUGUUUUAAUCUUAGCUAACUUAAUUACAGAAAAUAUGAUCCUGAUGAUUAUAGAAUGAUUAAAGGCUUAUAGGAUUUAAAUAAACUAGCAUAUGUGUAUUGUGAAGUGGUAGUUGCAAGUCUGGAUUAUUUAUUUAGUGGAGAAAAGAAAACGAUCAAGUCAAGAAAAAAACAAAAAUCUGUUAUUGACUAAAACAAUCGAGAGAGAUAGAACAAGCAAAAUCGAUUUAAAUGACAUAAAAUGAUACUUUAAAUUUAAAUAAUUUGUUGUCAUAUAGGUGCUGUGGUGGAAGUGACGUGCAAGGCCGGUGACAAGACAGUGAAGGCAUACGGGAAGACCAAAAUCAACGGUAAAUACGCAAUAACCGUUAAGGGAUACAACUACCGUAAAUACGGUGGCGAAGUUUGCACAGCCAAACUCCACUCGCCACCUAAGGGAUCGCCGUGUAACAUUCCUACAAGUUACCAUUUGGGUAACAAAGGUGCUAAACUCCAUGUGAAAUCAAAGACAAAGUACGAGGUUGUGCUUUAUGCUAAGUCCUUUGCUUAUGCACCUAAGAAACCUUACGGAGAAUGCCACAAGCCGGCUCCUUACCAUCCUCCUUACUACUACAAGUCUCCACCACCACCUUCUCCGGUUUACUACUACAAGUCUCCACCACCACCAACUCCAACUUAUGUCUAUAAAUCACCGCCUCCACCAACCCCAGCGUAUGUCUACAAAUCGCCUCCUCCUCCUACCCCAACAUACGUCUAUAAAUCUCCUCCACCACCAACUCCGACUUACGUCUACAAAUCACCACCACCGCCUACUCCAACGUAUGUGUAUAAGUCUCCGCCUCCACCAACCCCUACGUAUGUCUACAAGUCGCCCCCACCACCAACUCCAACCUAUGUUUACAAAUCACCGCCUCCUCCUACUCCGACCUACGUCUACAAGUCGCCGCCUCCUCCUACCCCAACUUAUGUUUACAAGUCGCCACCACCUCCAACACACACUCCUACACCAUACUACUACCAUUCUCCACCACCACCAGUUAAAUCUCCUCCACCUCCAUAUUAUUACCAUUCGCCACCACCACCCGUAAAAUCUCCACCACCGCCAUAUUAUUAUCAUUCACCACCCCCUCCGGUGAAAUCUCCUCCUCCUCCUUACUACUACCACUCUCCACCCCCUCCGGUGAAGUCUCCUCCUCCACCUUACUACUACCAGUCACCACCCCCUCCCGUAAAGUCACCACCACCACCAUAUUAUUACCAUUCACCACCUCCUCCGGUCAAAUCUCCUCCUCCACCCUACUAUUACCAUUCACCUCCUCCACCGAUGAAAUCUCCACCACCACCAUACUACUACCACUCACCACCUCCUCCAGUCAAAUCUCCUCCUCCACCGUACUAUUACCAUUCACCUCCUCUACCGGUGAAAUCUCCACCACCACCAUACUACUACCAUUCACCACCUCCUCCUGUCAAAUUUCCUCCUC